This 22-nucleotide microRNA is filed under the name Drosophila melanogaster (fruit fly). RNAcentral's name for it is "dme-miR-3642-5p". The record is from miRBase by way of RNAcentral. Lineage: Eukaryota; Metazoa; Arthropoda; Insecta; Diptera; Drosophilidae.
GUGAGUGGGUCGCACGGAGCGU